ACCCUGGUGGUCCAGUGGCUAAGACUCCUUGCUCCCAAAGCAGGAGGCCUAGGUUUGAUCCCUGGUCAGGGAA
Non-coding RNA from Bos taurus (domestic cattle), 73 nucleotides. Lineage: Eukaryota; Metazoa; Chordata; Mammalia; Artiodactyla; Bovidae. The record is from Rfam.